RNAcentral lists this ribosomal RNA (509 nucleotides) under uncultured Glomeraceae. RNAcentral describes it as "SSU rRNA". It matches the Rfam family "Eukaryotic small subunit ribosomal RNA", at positions 569 to 1078 of the family's 1831-position model. Lineage: Eukaryota; Fungi; Glomeromycota; Glomeromycetes; Glomerales; Glomeraceae. The record is from RNAcentral.
AGCAGCCGCGGUAAUUCCAGCUCCAAUAGCGUAUAUUAAAGUUGUUGCAGUUAAAAAGCUCGUAGUUGAAUUUCGGGAUUAGUGCGCUGGUCAUGCCUUUGGUAUGUACUGGUGUUACUGAUUUCUACCUUCUGAAGAACCGUUAUGUCAUUUAUUUGGUGUGGCGGGAAAUCAGGACUGUUACUUUGAAAAAAUUAGAGUGCUUAAGGCAGGCUAUCGCCUGAAUACAUUAGCAUGGAAUAAUGAAAUAGGAUGGCAUGGUUCUAUUUUGUUGGUUUCUAGGAUCACCGUAAUGAUUAAUAGGGAUAGUUGGGGGCAUUAGUAUUCAAUUGUCAGAGGUGAAUUUCUUGGAUUUAUUGAAGACUAACUACUGCGAAAGCAUUUGCCAAGGAUGUUUUCAUUAAUCAGGAACGAAAGUUAGGGGAUCGAAGACGAUCAGAUACCGUCGUAGUCUUAACCAUAAACUAUGCCGACUAGGGAUCGGAUGAUGUUAAUUUUUUAAUGACUCA